Molecule: long non-coding RNA, 575 nt
Filed under: Mustela putorius furo (domestic ferret)
Lineage: Eukaryota; Metazoa; Chordata; Mammalia; Carnivora; Mustelidae
Description: lncRNA (ENSMPUG00000031255.1)
Source: RNAcentral
CUCCCAGGGACAGCCCCAGCCGCGAGGGGUGCCCUCCAGGUCUUCUGCGGAUGUGGCCUUCCUGUCAACCAUCUGCUAGGUUGGCUGCAUCCAGUGACGGGGUGUCCGAAGUUCUUGGGCUGCCGAGGUCAGUGGGCCCCAUGCGUAGCCUGGACCCAGAACCUUCCCUCUGGUGAAGGAUGUCCAGGUCUGCACUGCUGGUGGAGGGACCCCGGGACCCUCUGCGGGAGACGAGUCCAGGCUUCCCACCGCCCUCUGACUGAGCCUUCCAGAAGUACCCGUGGGAUGAAGGAGAAAGGAAUGAGCAGUGGAGACUCUUCCCUACUCAAAGCAGACACGCAGUCGUUUUGCUGACGUGAAGGCCGUUCCACAGUCCCAGCUUUUCCUUCUCUUGCUGCGGCCGCUGCAAGCCUCCUCCAUUGCCAUGAGCCCCCUCGAAGGCAGGGCCACUGAACCCAGAGACUAAUUCCCCAGGCCUUGGCGACGAAGCAGAUCCACGCCGUCUCAGCGGGCGUGGGGCUCUGUCAGGCGGAGUUGAAACCGUUUCUACCAACACCGGUCACUGGAUGUCCCCC